AAGAGGUUCAAAGUCCACUACUUCGGAUAUGGAAAACAAUAUGACAAAUGGUUGGCAAGAGACGAAGUAAAAGCUUAUCCAUUGGCUGUGGGGGAAAAAGUAAAGGUCAGAUGGGAAGAUGGGUUUUUUUUACAAGGCAGAAGUCAAAGGCAUUGGUGAGAAAGGUGUAACUGUGUUGUUUGAAGAUGGCAUUAUUGCCAAAGCUACCUACCAGCUUUAAAUUCUGCUAAAGAGCCCCACUUCCAGCCAGUCACAACAGACCAAUCAGCCUGAAGAAAAUUGAAUGUUGUUUAUCAGAGUUAUUCACAUUACGAAUAAAUUUGUUGUUGUGAGA
Magallana angulata is the source of this 334-nucleotide long non-coding RNA. RefSeq lists it as uncharacterized. The transcript has 4 exons. Lineage: Eukaryota; Metazoa; Mollusca; Bivalvia; Ostreida; Ostreidae. The record is from RefSeq and is a predicted model, not a curated record.